RNAcentral lists this transfer RNA (32 nucleotides) under Kiefferulus martini. RNAcentral's name for it is "partial tRNA-Ser". The record is from RNAcentral. Lineage: Eukaryota; Metazoa; Arthropoda; Insecta; Diptera; Chironomidae.
UUAAAUAGUUAAUGAGCUUGAUAUAAGCAUAU